CCUACGGGAGGCAGCAGUGGGGAAUUUUGCACAAUGGGGGAAACCCUGAUACAGCAACGCCGCGUGGAGGAUGAAGUCCCUUGGGACGUAAACUCCUUUCGACCGGGACGAUAAUGACGGUACCGGUGGAAGAAGCCCGGCUAAUUCCGUGCCAGCAGCCGCGGUACAUACAUCCUACGGGAGGCAGCAGUAGGGAAUCUUCCGCAAUGGGCGAAAGCCUGACGGAGCAACGCCGCGUGAGUGAUGAAGGUCUUCGGAUCGUAAACU
This 267-nucleotide ribosomal RNA is filed under the name uncultured bacterium. Its description in RNAcentral is "partial 16S ribosomal RNA". The stretch from base 1 to 190 matches the Rfam family "Bacterial small subunit ribosomal RNA", at positions 338 to 537 of the family's 1533-position model. The record is from RNAcentral.